RNAcentral lists this ribosomal RNA (460 nucleotides) under uncultured bacterium. Its description in RNAcentral is "partial 16S ribosomal RNA". It matches the Rfam family "Bacterial small subunit ribosomal RNA", at positions 338 to 795 of the family's 1533-position model. The record is from RNAcentral.
CCUACGGGAGGCAGCAGUGAGGAAUAUUGGUCAAUGGACGAGAGUCUGAACCAGCCAAGUAGCGUGAAGGAUGACUGCCCUAUGGGUUGUAAACUUCUUUUAUAUGGGAAUAAAAUGUUCCACGUGUGGGAUUUUGUAUGUACCAUAUGAAUAAGGAUCGGCUAACUCCGUGCCAGCAGCCGCGGUAAUACGGAGGAUACGAGCGUUAUCCGGAUUUAGUGGGUUUAAAGGGAGCGUAGGUGGAUUGUUAAGUGAGUUGUGAAAGUUUGCGGCUCAACCGUAAAAUUGCAGUUGAAACUGGCAGUCUUGAGUACAGUAGAGGUGGGCGGAAUUCGUGGUGUAGCGGUGAAAUGCUUAGAUAUCACGAAGAACUCCGAUUGUGAAGGCAGCUCACUGGACUGCAACUGACACUGAGGCUCGAAAGUGUGGGUAUCAAACAGGAUUAGAUACCCGGGUAGUC